This is a long non-coding RNA of Gekko japonicus, 253 nucleotides long. RefSeq lists it as uncharacterized. The record is from RefSeq and is a predicted model, not a curated record. The transcript is spliced from 3 exons. Lineage: Eukaryota; Metazoa; Chordata; Lepidosauria; Squamata; Gekkonidae.
CUCAUAGCACAUAAUGCUGGCUGUUGGUGCUAUUGUCUUCAAGGACUUCUGCACGUCUGGGCAGAUCCGCCACCAAUGUCAGAAAAGGAGGAGGAAUCAAGUUCCCUCUUGCAAGACUCUUAACUGCCCAUCAGUCAGUGUCAAAAGAGGUCACAUUUUCCAGAGAUAUCCUGAGUAAUCAACAAGCCCUCUGUCCAGGCAUGCACAAGUUUCUGUCUUCUCUGAAGUUAAUAUAGAACUGAAACAGAUAUCU